RNAcentral lists this ribosomal RNA (230 nucleotides) under uncultured bacterium. RNAcentral's name for it is "partial 16S ribosomal RNA". It matches the Rfam family "Bacterial small subunit ribosomal RNA", at positions 15 to 236 of the family's 1533-position model. The record is from RNAcentral.
GAUCAUGGCUCAGGAUGAACGCUAGCUACAGGCUUAACACAUGCAAGUCGAGGGGCAGCGGGAUUGAAGCUUGCUUCAAUUGCCGGCGACCGGCGCACGGGUGAGUAACGCGUAUCCAACCUGCCUACCACUUGGGGAUAACCUUGCGAAAGUAAGACUAAUACCCAAUGACAUCCCACGAAGACAUCUGAAUGGGAUUAAAGAUUUAUCGGUGAUGGAUGGGGAUGCGU